Molecule: ribosomal RNA, 221 nt
Organism: Peptoanaerobacter stomatis
Lineage: Bacteria; Bacillati; Bacillota; Clostridia; Peptostreptococcales; Filifactoraceae
Rfam family: Bacterial small subunit ribosomal RNA
Source: Rfam
UUAAUUGAGAGUUUGAUCCUGGCUCAGGAUGAACGCUGGCGGCGUGCCUAACACAUGCAAGUCGAACGAAGUCAUAUGUGAAGUUUUCGGAUGGAAUAUAAGACUUAGUGGCGGACGGGUGAGUAACACGUAAGUAAUCAACCUAUAACACACGAAUAACUAAUAGAAAUGUUAGCUAAUACGAGAUAAAAUAUAUGAUAUGGGAAUAUUGUAUAUCAAAG